CAGCCGCCGCGGUAAUACGUAGGGUGCGAGCGUUCAUCGGAUUUACUGGGCGUAAAGCGUGCGCAGGCGGCCCGUUAAGACAGGUGUGAAAUCCCUGGGCUCAACCUAGGAAUUGCGCUUGUGACUGGCGGGCUCGAGUACGGUAGAGGGGGGUGGAAUUCCUGGUGUAGCAGUGAAAUGCGUAGAGAUCAGGAGGAACACCGAUGGCGAAGGCAGCCCCCUGGGCCUGUACUGACGCUCAUGCACGAAAGCGUGGGGAGCAAACAGGAUUAGAUACCCUGGUAGUCCACGCCCUAAACGAUGGGUACUAGCCGUUUGGUGCGCGAGAGCGCUGAGUGGCGAAGCUAACGCGUGAAGUACCCCGCCUGGGGAGUACGGCCGCAAGGUUGAAACUUAAAGGAAUUGGCGGG
This 410-nucleotide ribosomal RNA is filed under the name uncultured microorganism. Its description in RNAcentral is "bacterial SSU rRNA". It matches the Rfam family "Bacterial small subunit ribosomal RNA", at positions 509 to 917 of the family's 1533-position model. The record is from RNAcentral.